GAUGAACGCUGGCGGCGUGCAUGAGACAUGCAAGUCGAACGAAGGAUCGGGCUUGCUCGAUCCUUAGUGGCGGACGGCUGAGUAACGCGUAGGUGACCUACCCCGAAGUGGGGAAUAACUGCCCGAAAGGGUGGCUAAUACCGCCUGGGGACGCACGUUCAUUCGUGCGAGUAAAGCCGCAAGGCGCUUCGGGAGGGGCCUGCGUCCGAUUAGCUCGUUGGUGGGGUAAUGGCAUACCAAGGCGACGAUCGGUAGGUGGUCUGAGAGGACGACCACCCAGACUGGGACUGAGACACGGCCCAGACUCCGACGGGAGGCAGCAGUAGGGAAUUUUGCGCAAUGGGGGAAACCCUGAAGCAGCAACGCCGCGUGAGGGAUGAAGGCCUUCGGGUUGUAAACCUCUUUUGUCAGGGACGAUGAUGACGGUACCUGGCGAAUAAGCCACGGCUAACUACGUG
This 458-nucleotide ribosomal RNA is filed under the name uncultured bacterium. RNAcentral's name for it is "partial 16S ribosomal RNA". It matches the Rfam family "Bacterial small subunit ribosomal RNA", at positions 28 to 507 of the family's 1533-position model. The record is from RNAcentral.